CUACGGGAGGCAGCAGUGGGGAAUUUUGGGCAACGAUGNAAACCCUAAUCCANCCAUGCCGCGUCAGUGAAGAAGCCCUUCGGUUUGUAAAGCUCUUUCAGCCGGAACGAAUCGGUCACGGCUAAUACC
Molecule: ribosomal RNA, 129 nt
Filed under: uncultured bacterium
Lineage: Bacteria
Description: partial 16S ribosomal RNA
Rfam family: Bacterial small subunit ribosomal RNA
Source: RNAcentral